Molecule: non-coding RNA, 27 nt
Filed under: Homo sapiens (human)
Lineage: Eukaryota; Metazoa; Chordata; Mammalia; Primates; Hominidae
Source: RNAcentral
UGGAAAGGCAUGGUCCCCAAUGUGUGA